GGCUGAGUUAGUGAUCGGCCAAGGGCGAAUGUUAAUAUAAUCUAUUGGAGAUUACAUAAUGUCACUAAGUACUGAAGCUAAGAAGCAGAUUGUUGCUGAAUAUGCACGU
RNAcentral lists this non-coding RNA (109 nucleotides) under uncultured Ruminobacter sp. RNAcentral's name for it is "Ribosomal S15 leader". It matches the Rfam family "Ribosomal S15 leader", at positions 7 to 111 of the family's 117-position model. Rfam says of the family: The E. coli Ribosomal S15 gene 5' UTR can form two alternative structures. One that is a series of three hairpins, The other includes a pseudoknot. The record is from RNAcentral. Lineage: Bacteria; Pseudomonadati; Pseudomonadota; Gammaproteobacteria; Aeromonadales; Succinivibrionaceae.